GCCCGCACACGUAUACAAUUCUGAUGAAGUGGCCCACUGCAGAAAACACUUGGACACCCCUGUUCUACUCCAAACAUUGAUGUGGUGUAGGCCUACCAUUUCAGUGUCUGGCUUAGUAUAUAGCAGGGAUGCACCGAAAAUUCAGCAUUCACUUGGCCGAAACCAAAAAUGACCC
Molecule: long non-coding RNA, 175 nt
Organism: Spea bombifrons (plains spadefoot toad)
Lineage: Eukaryota; Metazoa; Chordata; Amphibia; Anura; Pelobatidae
Exons: 2
Source: RefSeq, a predicted model, not a curated record